RNAcentral lists this ribosomal RNA (432 nucleotides) under uncultured bacterium. RNAcentral's name for it is "partial 16S ribosomal RNA". It matches the Rfam family "Bacterial small subunit ribosomal RNA", at positions 29 to 507 of the family's 1533-position model. The record is from RNAcentral.
ACGAACGCUGGCGGCAUGCCUAACACAUGCAAGUCGAACGAGACCUUCGGGUCUAGUGGCGCACGGGUGCGUAACGCGCGGGAACCUGCCCUUAGGUUCGGAAUAACUCCCCGAAAGGGAUGCUAAUACCGGAUAAUGUCUUCGGACCAAAGAUUUAUCGCCUUUGGAUGGGCCCGCGUUGGAUUAGCUAGUUGGUAGGGUAAAAGCCUACCAAGGCGACGAUCCAUAGCUGGUCUGCGAGGAUGAUCAGCCACACUGGGACUGAGACACGGCCCAGACUCCUACGGGAGGCAGCAGUGGGGAAUAUUGGACAAUGGGCGAAAGCCUGAUCCAGCAGUGCCGCGUGAGUGAUGAAGGCCUUAGGGUUGUAAAGCUCUUUUACCCGGGAUGAUAAUGACGGUACCGGGAGAAUAAGCUCCGGCUAACUCCGUG